GGCGGAUUAAUCAUCAGCGGUUCCAAUUCUGUACUCAUUGACGUGAAAAUACGCCUUUCUGAACUUACGGGGUUUAUUCCUGAAUAAGAUCUAUAACUCAAGGCGGUGAAGAUGCCUAGUACUCCUGCCUUCUGUUUUCCACACAACAACCCUGUGAGGUGGGUUGGGCAGAGAGAGAGAGAGAUUUGCACCAUUUCUGUACUUCCUUCAAAUUUUUCAACUUAUUAGCAAAAUUAAAAACGUAAGCCACGAUGCAGCGUGUCGCCAGCACAGUCCGUUUAGUCCACACGUUCUGGGUAAAUGCUUAGUUCUAGUUAGUUGAAACAUGCUAAUUAUGAUAAUUAUGACAUCUUCUUUUGAAUUUGGGCUAUAUCAAUGUUUUUUAUGUGGGCGGCUGUAUAAAUGUUUUAAAUAAAUAAAUAAAUAAAUCUA
Python bivittatus (Burmese python) is the source of this 432-nucleotide non-coding RNA. NCBI's taxonomy places the organism in Eukaryota, Metazoa, Chordata, Lepidosauria, Squamata, Pythonidae. The record is from RefSeq and is a predicted model, not a curated record.